Molecule: ribosomal RNA, 246 nt
Filed under: uncultured bacterium
Lineage: Bacteria
Description: partial 16S ribosomal RNA
Rfam family: Bacterial small subunit ribosomal RNA
Source: RNAcentral
GAUCAUGGCUCAGGACGAACGCUGGCGGCGCGCCUAACACAUGCGAGUCGAACGGAGUCAAGAGGAGCUUGCUUUUCUUGACUUAGUGGCGAACGGGUGAGUAACGCGUGAGUAACCUGCCCUGGAGUGGGGGACAACAGUUGGAAACGACUGCUAAUACCGCAUAAGCCCACGGCCCGGCAUCGGGCUGAGGGAAAAGGAUUUAUUCGCUUCAGGAUGGACUCGCGUCCAAUUAGCUAGUUGGUG